AUCUAUGGCCAUGCCACCCUGAACGUGCCCAAUCCCGUCUGAUCUCGGAAGCUAAGCAGGGUCAGGCCUGGUUAGUUCUUGGAUGGGAGACCACCUAGGAAGACCAGGUACUGUACACG
This is a non-coding RNA of Pteropus alecto (black flying fox), 119 nucleotides long. NCBI's taxonomy places the organism in Eukaryota, Metazoa, Chordata, Mammalia, Chiroptera, Pteropodidae. The record is from Rfam.